UUUCCGUAGGUGAACCUGCGGAAGGAUCAUUGUCGAAACCUGCCCAGCAGAACGACCCGCCAACUUGUAUAAACAACUGGGUGCGGGGUGGGCGUUCUCGCCCCGUGCCCCCGAACGGCGGGGAGACACUCGUGACUUCUUGCCGAACAACGACCCCCGGCGCGGUCUGCGCCAAGGACCUUCAACUAAAGAGUGCCUCCGGUCGCCGCGGAAACGGCGUGCGUGCCGGAGGCGAAUCUUGUGCAAAACCAUAACGACUCUCGGCAACGGAUAUCUCGGCUCUC
Molecule: unclassified non-coding RNA, 284 nt
Filed under: plant metagenome
Description: partial contains small subunit ribosomal RNA, internal transcribed spacer 1, and 5.8S ribosomal RNA
Source: RNAcentral